GGAGACUGUGAACUUUCUCCUUGUACGAUGUGAACAAGGUGGCAUUGCUUAUAGGCACUUUCUUCGUGAUCUGUACGAGGACUUAGUCCGUAAGUUGUUAGACUUAUCUGCAGUGGAGAAUGUUCUUGUCACUCAGCCUUGUCGAGACAACAUGCUGUAUCUUUUAAAACUUGUUGAUGAGAUGCUUCUUUCUGAAAUGAAGUUUAAUCUUCCGUAUCCAGCCGGCAACACAGAAUUUUCUUCAGAGUUCUUAGAACUAGAACAGCUGAAUGAUCUUGG
RNAcentral lists this unclassified non-coding RNA (279 nucleotides) under Hevea brasiliensis (rubber tree). The record is from RNAcentral. Lineage: Eukaryota; Viridiplantae; Streptophyta; Magnoliopsida; Malpighiales; Euphorbiaceae.